GAAGUUUGUGUUCACGAAGGUGACUUUGAUGCCUUGCUUUACAAGCCAUUGCGUGAUUUCCAGCAUGGGAAUCACGUGGCCCUGUGCUGGAUGCUCUAUUGUACCUGGAAAAAGUGCAUUCUUGUGGUCAUCGCUUUGGUAUGAAAAUAACUACUCAGCGACGAAUUUACGAGACAGACAGGAAAUAUAAAGAAAGGCACGACGCAGGCACAGAGAAAAGACUGCUGUUUGUCUUUUUGCUGACACGAGAGGGGUUUUGGGGGCCACAAAAUCACUGUCUGGGAACAAACCUCGUACUUGUCAGAGCAAAAUUAAAAGAACUGAAAAGUAUUAUUCAGAAGCUUCUAAAGGCAUACUCAGAUACCCUUUUCUUCAAUAGGUCCAAUAAAAUACUCAGAUGCCCUUUUC
Erythranthe guttata (spotted monkey flower) is the source of this 408-nucleotide non-coding RNA. NCBI's taxonomy places the organism in Eukaryota, Viridiplantae, Streptophyta, Magnoliopsida, Lamiales, Phrymaceae. The record is from RefSeq and is a predicted model, not a curated record.